This 1267-nucleotide ribosomal RNA is filed under the name human gut metagenome. RNAcentral describes it as "bacterial SSU rRNA". It matches the Rfam family "Bacterial small subunit ribosomal RNA", at positions 8 to 1247 of the family's 1533-position model. The record is from RNAcentral.
AGAGUUUGAUCCUGGCUCAGGACGAACGCUGGCGGCGUGCCUAAUACAUGCAAGUCGAACGCUUCUUUUUCCACCGGAGCUUGCUCCACCGGAAAAAGAGGAGUGGCGAACGGGUGAGUAACACGUGGGUAACCUGCCCAUCAGAAGGGGAUAACACUUGGAAACAGGUGCUAAUACCGUAUAACAAUCGAAACCGCAUGGUUUUGAUUUGAAAGGCGCUUUCGGGUGUCGCUGAUGGAUGGACCCGCGGUGCAUUAGCUAGUUGGUGAGGUAACGGCUCACCAAGGCCACGAUGCAUAGCCGACCUGAGAGGGUGAUCGGCCACAUUGGGACUGAGACACGGCCCAAACUCCUACGGGAGGCAGCAGUAGGGAAUCUUCGGCAAUGGACGAAAGUCUGACCGAGCAACGCCGCGUGAGUGAAGAAGGUUUUCGGAUCGUAAAACUCUGUUGUUAGAGAAGAACAAGGAUGAGAGUAACUGUUCAUCCCUUGACGGUAUCUAACCAGAAAGCCACGGCUAACUACGUGCCAGCAGCCGCGGUAAUACGUAGGUGGCAAGCGUUGUCCGGAUUUAUUGGGCGUAAAGCGAGCGCAGGCGGUUUCUUAAGUCUGAUGUGAAAGCCCCCGGCUCAACCGGGGAGGGUCAUUGGAAACUGGGAGACUUGAGUGCAGAAGAGGAGAGUGGAAUUCCAUGUGUAGCGGUGAAAUGCGUAGAUAUAUGGAGGAACACCAGUGGCGAAGGCGGCUCUCUGGUCUGUAACUGACGCUGAGGCUCGAAAGCGUGGGGAGCAAACAGGAUUAGAUACCCUGGUAGUCCACGCCGUAAACGAUGAGUGCUAAGUGUUGGAGGGUUUCCGCCCUUCAGUGCUGCAGCAAACGCAUUAAGCACUCCGCCUGGGGAGUACGACCGCAAGGUUGAAACUCAAAGGAAUUGACGGGGGCCCGCACAAGCGGUGGAGCAUGUGGUUUAAUUCGAAGCAACGCGAAGAACCUUACCAGGUCUUGACAUCCUUUGACCACUCUAGAGAUAGAGCUUCCCCUUCGGGGGCAAAGUGACAGGUGGUGCAUGGUUGUCGUCAGCUCGUGUCGUGAGAUGUUGGGUUAAGUCCCGCAACGAGCGCAACCCUUAUUGUUAGUUGCCAUCAUUUAGUUGGGCACUCUAGCGAGACUGCCGGUGACAAACCGGAGGAAGGUGGGGAUGACGUCAAAUCAUCAUGCCCCUUAUGACCUGGGCUACACACGUGCUACAAUGGGAAGUACAACGAGU